This 760-nucleotide ribosomal RNA is filed under the name uncultured microorganism. Its description in RNAcentral is "bacterial SSU rRNA". It matches the Rfam family "Bacterial small subunit ribosomal RNA", at positions 61 to 799 of the family's 1533-position model. The record is from RNAcentral.
GUCGAACGCGAAAGUCCCCUUCGGGGGAUGAGUAGAGUGGCGCACGGGUGAGUAACACGUAGGUAAUCUACCUUUGGAUGGGGAAUAACCACCGGAAACGGUGGCUAAUACCGCAUAAUGCAGCGGCACCUAAUGGUGACAGUUGUUAAAGCGGGGGAUCGAAAGACCUCGCGUCUGAAGAGGAGCCUGCGGCGGAUUAGCUAGUUGGUAAGGUAAUGGCUUACCAAGGCUACGAUCCGUAACCGGCCUGAGAGGGCGGUCGGUCACACUGACACUGACAUACGGGUCAGACUCCUACGGGAGGCAGCAAUCGGGAAUUUUGGGCAAUGGGCGAAAGCCUGACCCAGCAACGCCGCGUGAAGGAUGAAAUCCCUCGGGAUGUAAACUUCGCAAGAACGGGAAGAAUAAGUAGGGGACAAUACCCCCUAUGAUGACGGUACCGUUUGUAAGCUCCGGCUAACUCCGUGCCAGCAGCCGCGGUAAUACGGGGGGAGCAAGCGUUGUUCGGAUUUACUGGGCGUAAAGGGCGCGUAGGCGGCCAGCACAAGUCAGUUGUGAAAUCUCCGAGCUUAACUCGGAAAGGUCAACUGAUACUGUGCGGCUAGAGUGCGGAAGGGGCAACUGGAAUUCUUGGUGUAGCGGUGAAAUGCGUAGAUAUCAAGAGGAACACCUGCGGCGAAGGCGGGUUGCUGGGCCGACACUGACGCUGAGGCGCGAAAGCUAGGGGAGCGAACGGGAUUAGAUACCCCGGUAGUCCUAG